RNAcentral lists this ribosomal RNA (253 nucleotides) under uncultured bacterium. Its description in RNAcentral is "partial 16S ribosomal RNA". It matches the Rfam family "Bacterial small subunit ribosomal RNA", at positions 524 to 776 of the family's 1533-position model. The record is from RNAcentral.
UACGGGGGGUGCGAGCGUUGUCCGGAAUCACUGGGCGUAAAGGGCGCGUAGGUGGUUUGAUAAGGGUGUGGUGAAAGCCCGGGGCUCAACCCCGGGUCUGCCGUGCCGACUGUCAAACUCGAGGGCUGUAGAGGCAGACGGAAUUCCGGGUGUAGCGGUGGAAUGCGUAGAGAUCCGGAGGAAGACCGGUGGCGAAGGCGGUCUGCUGGGCAGUUUCGGACACUGAGGCGCGACAGCGUGGGGAGCAAACAGG